Molecule: non-coding RNA, 280 nt
Filed under: Ananas comosus (pineapple)
Lineage: Eukaryota; Viridiplantae; Streptophyta; Magnoliopsida; Poales; Bromeliaceae
Description: Eukaryotic large subunit ribosomal RNA
Rfam family: Eukaryotic large subunit ribosomal RNA
Source: Rfam by way of RNAcentral
CUGACAUGCGUGCGAGUCGACGGGCGCGAAAACCCGGGAGGCGCAAGGAAGCUGACUAGCGGGAACCCCCUCGAGGGGCCGCACCGCUGGCCGACCCCGAUCUUCUGUGAAGGGUUCGAGUCGGAGCACGCCCGUCGGGACCCGAAAGAUGGUGAACUAUGCCUGAGCGAGGCGAAGCCAGAGGAAACUCUGGUGGAGGCCCGAAGCGAUACUGACGUGCAAAUCGUUCGUCUGACUUGGGUAUAGGGGCGAAAGACUAAUCGAACCAUCUAGUAGCUGG